Molecule: ribosomal RNA, 730 nt
Filed under: uncultured bacterium
Lineage: Bacteria
Description: bacterial SSU rRNA
Rfam family: Bacterial small subunit ribosomal RNA
Source: RNAcentral
AACAGGAUUAGAUACCCUGGUAGUCCACGCCGUAAACGAUGUCGACUUGGAGGUUGUUCCCUUGAGGAGUGGCUUCCGGAGCUAACGCGUUAAGUCGACCGCCUGGGGAGUACGGCCGCAAGGUUAAAACUCAAAUGAAUUGACGGGGGCCCGCACAAGCGGUGGAGCAUGUGGUUUAAUUCGAUGCAACGCGAAGAACCUUACCUACUCUUGACAUCCACGGAAUUUGGCAGAGAUGCCUUAGUGCCUUCGGGAACCGUGAGACAGGUGCUGCAUGGCUGUCGUCAGCUCGUGUUGUGAAAUGUUGGGUUAAGUCCCGCAACGAGCGCAACCCUUAUCCUUUGUUGCCAGCGAUUCGGUCGGGAACUCAAAGGAGACUGCCGGUGAUAAACCGGAGGAAGGUGGGGAUGACGUCAAGUCAUCAUGGCCCUUACGAGUAGGGCUACACACGUGCUACAAUGGCGCAUACAAAGAGAAGCGACCUCGCGAGAGCAAGCGGACCUCACAAAGUGCGUCGUAGUCCGGAUCGGAGUCUGCAACUCGACUCCGUGAAGUCGGAAUCGCUAGUAAUCGUGGAUCGGAAUGCCACGGUGAAUACGUUCCCGGGCCUUGUACACACCGCCCGUCACACCAUGGGAGUGGGUUGCAAAAGAAGUAGGUAGCUUAACCUUCGGGAGGGCGCUUACCACUUUGUGAUUCAUGACUGGGGUGAAGUCGUAACAAGGUAACC